RNAcentral lists this transfer RNA (67 nucleotides) under Marmota monax (woodchuck). RNAcentral describes it as "tRNA.Ser". The record is from RNAcentral. Lineage: Eukaryota; Metazoa; Chordata; Mammalia; Rodentia; Sciuridae.
GGACGUGCCUCAGUGGUAGAGUGCUUUCCUAGAAAGCAUGAGGUCUUGGGUUCAAUCCCCAGCACCA